AACGAACGCUGGCGGCGUGGAUAAGACAUGCAAGUUGAACGCUAAUUUCGGUGUAGCAAUACAUCGGAGUUGGAGUAGCGCAAGGGUGCGUAACACGUGGGUAAUUUGCCGUGAAGUUGGGGAUAACUCGCUGAAAGGCGAGCUAAUACCGAAUGUGAAGUUUGGGUGGCAUCACCUGACCUUUAAAGCUGGGGAUCGUAAGACCUGGCGCUUUAUGAUAAGCCCGCGGCCAUCAGCUAGUUGGUGAGGUAACGGCUCACCAAGGCUAAGACGGGUAGCUGGUCUGAGAGGACGACCAGCCACACUGGAACUGAGACACUGCCCAGACU
RNAcentral lists this ribosomal RNA (329 nucleotides) under uncultured bacterium. RNAcentral's name for it is "bacterial SSU rRNA". It matches the Rfam family "Bacterial small subunit ribosomal RNA", at positions 29 to 337 of the family's 1533-position model. The record is from RNAcentral.